CCUACGGGGGGCUGCAGUGGGGAAUAUUGGACAAUGGGGGGAACCCUGAUCCAGCCAUGCCGCGUGUGUGAAGAAGGCCCUCGGGUUGUAAAGCACUUUCAGUGAGGAAGAACGCCUGGUGGUUAAUACCCAUCAGGAAAGACAUCACUCACAGAAGAAGCACCGGCUAACUCCGUGCCAGCAGCCGCGGUAAUACGGAGGGUGCGAGCGUUAAUCGGAAUUACUGGGCGUAAAGCGCGCGUAGGUGGCUUGAUAAGCCGGUUGUGAAAGCCCCGGGCUCAACCUGGGAACGGCAUCCGGAACUGUUAAGCUAGAGUGCAGGAGAGGAAGGUAGAAUUCCCGGUGUAGCGGUGAAAUGCGUAGAGAUCGGGAGGAAUACCAGUGGCGAAGGCGGCCUUCUGGACUGACACUGACACUGAGGUGCGAAAGCGUGGGUAGCAAACAGGAUUAGAUACCCUAGUAGUC
RNAcentral lists this ribosomal RNA (465 nucleotides) under Vreelandella stevensii. RNAcentral describes it as "partial 16S ribosomal RNA". It matches the Rfam family "Bacterial small subunit ribosomal RNA", at positions 338 to 795 of the family's 1533-position model. The record is from RNAcentral. Lineage: Bacteria; Pseudomonadati; Pseudomonadota; Gammaproteobacteria; Oceanospirillales; Halomonadaceae.